RNAcentral lists this ribosomal RNA (169 nucleotides) under bacterium enrichment culture clone 5/05bandH. Its description in RNAcentral is "partial 16S ribosomal RNA". It matches the Rfam family "Bacterial small subunit ribosomal RNA", at positions 367 to 525 of the family's 1533-position model. The record is from RNAcentral.
GACAAUGGGGGCACCCUGCAUCCAGCCAUGCCGCGUUGUGUGAAGAAGGCUUUCGGGUUGUAAAGCACUUUCAGUGAAGGAAGGAAGGCCUUAAAGUUAAUACCUUUGAGGAUUGACGUUACUCGCAGAAGAAGCACCGGCUAACUCCGUGCCAGCCAGCGCGGUAAUA